Molecule: non-coding RNA, 70 nt
Filed under: Anaerococcus jeddahensis
Lineage: Bacteria; Bacillati; Bacillota; Tissierellia; Tissierellales; Peptoniphilaceae
Also listed under: 1 other name
Description: THF riboswitch
Rfam family: THF (Tetrahydrofolate) riboswitch aptamer
About the family: THF riboswitch presents a pseudoknot that joins P1-P2 and the loop of P3 and two THF binding.
Source: RNAcentral
GUAGAGUAGGGCUAAGGCGUUAAGUGCUAGAAAAUGGGAUGUUGUUUCUAGACGAAAGAUUUUAGUCCGC